UGUGUGUGCAUGUGCAUGCGUGUGUGUGCAGUGUGUGCAUGUGUGUGCACUUGUGUGUGCUGCGUGUGCAUGUGCAUGCGUGUGUGCAUGUGCAUGUGUGUGCUGUGUGUGUA
RNAcentral lists this microRNA precursor (113 nucleotides) under Myotis lucifugus (little brown bat). Its description in RNAcentral is "miRNA (ENSMLUG00000020404.2)". The record is from RNAcentral. Lineage: Eukaryota; Metazoa; Chordata; Mammalia; Chiroptera; Vespertilionidae.